UGGGGAUUAUUGGACAAUGGGCGCAAGCCCGAUCCAGCCAUGCCGCGUGAGUGAUGAAGGCCCUAGGGUUGUAAAGCUCUUUCACCGGUGAAGAUAAUGACGGUAACCGGAGAAGAAGCCCCGGCUAACUCCGUGCCAGCAGCCGCGGUAAUACGAAGGGGGCUAGCGUUGUUCGGAGUUACUGGGCGUAAAGCGCACGUAGGCGGACUUUUAAGUCAGGGGUGAAAUCCCGGGGCUCAACCCCGGAACUGCCUUUGAUACUGGAAGUCUUGAGUAUGGUAGAGGUGGGUGGAAAUCCUACUGUAGAGGUGAAAUUCGUAGUUAUUCGGGGGAACACCAGUGACGACGGCGGCUCACUGGCGCGAUACUGACGCUGAGGUGCGAAAGCGUGGGGAGCAAACAGG
RNAcentral lists this ribosomal RNA (404 nucleotides) under Verrucomicrobiota bacterium. RNAcentral's name for it is "Verrucomicrobia bacterium partial 16S ribosomal RNA". It matches the Rfam family "Bacterial small subunit ribosomal RNA", at positions 355 to 776 of the family's 1533-position model. Lineage: Bacteria; Pseudomonadati; Verrucomicrobiota. The record is from RNAcentral.